RNAcentral lists this transfer RNA (72 nucleotides) under Camelus bactrianus (Bactrian camel). It matches the Rfam family "tRNA". From Rfam's summary of the family: Transfer RNA (tRNA) molecules are approximately 80 nucleotides in length. Their secondary structure includes four short double-helical elements and three loops (D, anti-codon, and T loops). Lineage: Eukaryota; Metazoa; Chordata; Mammalia; Artiodactyla; Camelidae. The record is from Rfam by way of RNAcentral. RNAcentral also lists the same sequence under 2 other names.
AAGGGUGUAGCUCAGUGGUAGAGUGCAUGCUUAGCAUGCAUGAGGUCCUGGAUUCAGCCUUCAGUACCUCCA